UACAGAGGGUGCAAGCGUUGUCCGGAAUUAUUGGGCGUAAAGCGCGCGCAGGCGGUCCUUUAAGUCUGAUGUGAAAGCCCACGGCUCAACCGUGGAGGGUCAUUGGAAACUGGAGGACUUGAGUACAGAAGAGGAAAGCGGAAUUCCACGUGUAGCGGUGAAAUGCGUAGAGAUGUGGAGGAACACCAGUGGCGAAGGCGGCUUUCUGGUCUGUAACUGACGCUGAGGCGCGAAAGCGUGGGGAGCAAACAGG
RNAcentral lists this ribosomal RNA (253 nucleotides) under uncultured bacterium. RNAcentral's name for it is "partial 16S ribosomal RNA". It matches the Rfam family "Bacterial small subunit ribosomal RNA", at positions 524 to 776 of the family's 1533-position model. The record is from RNAcentral.